Non-coding RNA from Potamilus streckersoni, 73 nucleotides. NCBI's taxonomy places the organism in Eukaryota, Metazoa, Mollusca, Bivalvia, Unionida, Unionidae. The record is from the annotation of a GenBank genome assembly.
GGUGGCCUAGUGGUUACAGCGUCCGCUUCGGAUGCGGGAGGUCACCGGUUUGAACCCUGGUAUACUUAUACCA